RNAcentral lists this ribosomal RNA (253 nucleotides) under uncultured bacterium. RNAcentral describes it as "partial 16S ribosomal RNA". It matches the Rfam family "Bacterial small subunit ribosomal RNA", at positions 524 to 776 of the family's 1533-position model. The record is from RNAcentral.
UACGUAGGGCGCAAGCGUUAUCCGGAAUUAUUGGGCGUAAAGAGCUCGUAGGUGGUUUGUCGCGUUGUUCGUGAAAUCUCACGGCUUAACUGUGAGCGUGCGGGCGAUACGGGCAGACUAGAGUACUGCAGGGGAGACUGGAAUUCCUGGUGUAGCGGUGGAAUGCGUAGAGAUCGGGAAGAAUACCCGUGGCGAAGGCGGCCAGCUGGGCCAGGUCCGACACUGAGGCGCGAAAGCGUGGGGAGCAAAUGGG